GGGCCAUUUGCUUAGCUUGGUUAACAAGGUUUAGGUGCUUGGUCAACAAGCGCAGGUCUUAUAAACCUGAGUAAACAUUGUAUCUCUCAAUGUUUAAGGAAAUCCGGGGUUCAAAUCCCCGAUGGCCCA
This 129-nucleotide transfer RNA is filed under the name Promethearchaeota archaeon. Its description in RNAcentral is "Candidatus Lokiarchaeota archaeon tRNA-Ile". The stretch from base 28 to 129 matches the Rfam family "tRNA". From Rfam's summary of the family: Transfer RNA (tRNA) molecules are approximately 80 nucleotides in length. Their secondary structure includes four short double-helical elements and three loops (D, anti-codon, and T loops). Lineage: Archaea; Promethearchaeati; Promethearchaeota. The record is from RNAcentral.